Long non-coding RNA from Daphnia pulicaria, 176 nucleotides. RefSeq lists it as uncharacterized. The record is from RefSeq and is a predicted model, not a curated record. The transcript is spliced from 2 exons. NCBI's taxonomy places the organism in Eukaryota, Metazoa, Arthropoda, Branchiopoda, Diplostraca, Daphniidae.
CAAUGUUAGCUGUUCGUCGCCGUGUGUACUACGUAAAAGGGCCUUUAUCCAUGAUGCUCAUUGACGAACACCACAGCCUCACAAUAUGGCGAUUUGUAAUUCAUGGUGGAAUAGACAGAUAUUCAAGAGCCAUAUCUUUUUAAAAAUUGUCCAACAACAAUCGUGCAUUCACCGUG